Molecule: ribosomal RNA, 750 nt
Filed under: Triticum aestivum (bread wheat)
Lineage: Eukaryota; Viridiplantae; Streptophyta; Magnoliopsida; Poales; Poaceae
Description: partial small subunit ribosomal RNA
Source: RNAcentral
AUGGGGGGAGGUGCUAUGGAGGUGGACCUGACCCACGGCGCGGUGGCGGUGAUGUCGCGGUUCCAGCGAGGCCUGCGGCCCGUGCUGCAGGUGGUGGGCGCCCCCGCCCGCCGAGGCGGCACGGACCGGUACCGCUUCCUGCUCUCCGACGGCGUGCACUCCCAGGAGGGGAUCCUCGUCCCCUCCCUCGACAGCCUCGUCAGGACCGGCCGCCUCCGCGACGGCAUACGCGUCCUCGACUACGUCUGCAACUCCGUCUGCAGCCGAAGGGUCAUCAUUGUUAUCCAACUUGAAGUGGUGCAAACUGAGUGCACACUGAUCGGGAGUCCUACAAGUUAUCAGCUCAAUGCUGCUCAACCAAAUAUCAGAUCCUGUUCUGGUGGCCUAGGCAUCCAUGGGUCAAGGACUGAGCAAGGUAUUAAUGACAUGGCAUUUUCUCCUGAUCAAGAUCUAUUGCGCUCUUCUAUUGCCGCAAGGGCAGAAAAUGCUGUUAACAAUCUGUCGUUCAGUGGACUUCACGGUUCAGUGCUAAAGCAAAACACAAUAAAUGCCAAGAUGCAGCAGCUUUCACUGAACUCUCAUCAAGGGAAAAUGCCUGCACUUCGUCCCACUGGUUGGAGCUUUGGCCCUCGCCCUGCAGAGUUUUCGUGUGAGCAGCCACCUCCAGUAUGUGUGAACAGAGGAUCUGUUCCUAACAAUGGCACUCCUUCUGUCAUCCCUAUCGCUGCCUUGAACCCAUAUCAAGGGUAG